GGAUACCCGCUGAACUUAAGCAUAUCAAUA
Molecule: ribosomal RNA, 30 nt
Filed under: Sticta sp. 1 NM-2015
Lineage: Eukaryota; Fungi; Ascomycota; Lecanoromycetes; Peltigerales; Lobariaceae
Description: partial 28S ribosomal RNA
Source: RNAcentral